RNAcentral lists this transfer RNA (63 nucleotides) under Ligia oceanica (common sea slater). Its description in RNAcentral is "tRNA-Leu". Lineage: Eukaryota; Metazoa; Arthropoda; Malacostraca; Isopoda; Ligiidae. The record is from RNAcentral.
CCUAAGGUGGCAGAACAAUGCGUAGGGUUUAAGCCCCUAUUAUGGGUUUUGCCCCCCUAGAAA